ACUCCGUUGGUGAACCAGCAGAGGGAUCAUUACAGGACUCGCAAGACUCCUACAACCCUGUGAACUUAACUAUAAGCACGUUGCUUCGGCGGGUGUCUCGGAGAGGGUUCUCCCUCCCCGGGGCGCUAAGCCCGCCGGCAGCCUACUAUACUCUGUCUCUUUGCGUUGGCAUCUCGAGUACAAACAAACAAGUUAAAACUUUCAACAACGGAUCUCUUGGUUCUG
Molecule: unclassified non-coding RNA, 225 nt
Filed under: plant metagenome
Description: partial contains small subunit ribosomal RNA, internal transcribed spacer 1, and 5.8S ribosomal RNA
Source: RNAcentral